ACAAAAGCCCGCCCAAACCCAUCCUCGUAUAUACAAACCUAACCCUAAGACGCUUCUUCCCCAAUCUCUCUCCCCCUCCGCCGCCACCCCCUCGUCUUGUCACUCCUCCUAGAUCGGCUCCUCUCUCGCUCCUCCAUGAUCCCCACCUAGAUUCGCUCCUCUCUCCCUCCUCUAUCCCCACCUAUAUUCACUCCUCUCUCCCUUCUCCUCGAUGCUGAUUUUUUAGAGCAAGCAGAUUGGAUCGAUGGUGACCGCAUGAGCGUGCCGCUGCCGCAUGGAAUCGCCUUGCCGCUGCGUGGAGUCGCUUUGUCGCCGCCGCCCGUUGCCACUUGCCAGCAUGGUAACUUCGUCCCAACCACUGCUCACCUCCAGGUCCUCUCGUGUUGCUGCUUGUCGUGGUCAUCUUGUCCGCUGGGCGCUUGCUUCCUACUGACAUACUACAUGUGUGCUUGCUGCUACCGUAGUACAUGCAUGCUUGUUGUUUCCGUAGUACAUAUGUGGUUGCUAGGUGAUGGGCUGCGUGCUUGCGUGAUUGAUUUCCUUCAUCUUGCAGGUGCACACAUGCACCUAACAUCCAGGGAAGUCCACCAUCUGAACCACCACGACCAUCCCUCUUGGCUAGCACAAGCAGCGCCAUCGGCACUUCGGAAGUGAAGGUAAGCAGCCAAGAACUGGAGAAAAUCCUGAAUUUGUGUAAGUGUUUUCUUAUUGAUACAAUUUUUUUAUUUGUAUUUGUCGUAUAUAUGGUUUAAAAACACUAAAAGAAAACAUAUCUUCCUAAAAGAUAUGUCUGCAGAUGAAGACAAGUUGUGUGGUAGUUCACGUUCAGUCCUUAACAAAAAAUUAGACCAUGCCAGUGAUGAAUAAAGCAUAUUAGUGUUCUUCUCCUUCCUGUUGUUAUAAAUCGGGCAUAUCUCUAUAUAUUUUUAUAUUAUUUACCACUUUACUCCCUGGCAUAGUUGCAAACUAAUAAUUGACGUUGUGUAUGCUCUUCACUGAGAAGUGGCUGUUUGAUACAGUCUACCAGUGUGCAUUUUUAUUUGCUGUAGAACUUGUCUAAGUUAGAUGUACUCAUCUUUGUUGCUAUUAGGAUCAAGUAUCAAUGCUUACAUUCGGUAAAAAAAAUCUCCUUCGGCUUUAGUGUAUUGUUAAGGUUCUGAUAAAUUCAGAUAUACUACCUCCAUUUCAAAAUAUAAUGCGUUUUUUGUAGGCUAAACUGAGGUAGUAUUUCUUAGUUUUGACAAUGCCUCGCUUAAUACUGAUCGGUAAUCAUGAAUUUGUUUUCCUGCAUAUAUCUGUACAUGUUCCUAUCUGAAUUAAUGCUGGACGUUUUUUGGUGUGUGCGUGUGAUAUUCAGGUCACAUUUUCGCAAUAUAUGUUGGUUUAUGGUCUUGUUUGAAACUUAUGCAAUUCGACAUACCACAGCAAGCUUUAGAAGUAACUUCCUUCCAUCUACAAAAGCUGAGAGGGAGGGGGAGAGGCACACAAUUUUACCACCGAAUAAGCUGCUCCCUGACCUGGAGGGGGAGGCACAAGAUUCACCACUGAAUAAGCUAAUACACUCAACAUGAUUGAGGCUCUAAAAUGAAAUAAUGAAAGUGUAGCAAUCUGCAGCUUUGGAGAUUUAGAGGCACACAAAGAUAAUGAGAUAGUGUAAUAAUCUGCAGCUUCGAAAAUUUUGAUUUUUGUUUGCAGCAAAUAACAAUAUUGGUGUUUUCAUUGCACUUUGGCCUCCAAUGAAAUUCUUCUUUGUGUCAAUAAUAAUUCUCUAUCAAAAGUUUUAGUUUAACAGUAUACUAAUUUUUGUCAGUUGCUUUGCCCAGGUCUAUCUCAUGGACACCCAGGUUGAUAUACAGUUUUCUCAACACCCAGAUUUGUGGAGCAUGAUGUUGGACAAUUAGGAUGGGACUGCAUACCUUUAGAUUUUGGUGCUGAGAUUUGUGUGCCCCUCGCUACAUGUAAGCCACGUUUAUGAUGUUGAUCCUUCUGCUAUGGAUUGUAGUUUGGUUCCACUACUAGCGCCUUGAAGACUAAGGAUGGUGUUGUCCUGGCUGUGAGAAACGUAUCACCUCACCACUGCUGGUAAUUUUGCAUCUCCACUUAUUGCUUUAUUAUCGUUCCAGUCGAAUACAAAUUCUUCAGCUAUAUAUUUAACUGUUGAUGAUCUCUUGUGGCUGCAAGAGAAAUGUAUGGGCAAAAUGUCAACAUUCUUAGAUAGGUCAAUUGCCGUGUCCUUCCUAGCCUUUUGAUUUUAUUUUUACUAUAUCUUUUUUGUUCUAAGUUUCAACUAUCAAGUCUCAACAAGAUGUGGACAUUGUUCUUCAGGGCAUAUAUGCUUUCUUAAUGCUCUAACAGGGUAGAUUCUGUGGUUGGUUAACCUAAUUUAUGAAAAUCGGUGGUACCCAAAGGCGCCAUUCAAUAAGUAUUGAAAAGUUGAUCCAUUCCUACUCACUGCACUGGAAAAAUAUUGUACAACUGGACAACUGUAGCUGUUUGUCGCUGUUUGUCUUCUCAACGCAUAACUAUCCCUUCUUGUAUCUUCAUAACAUAUCAUCAGGGAGCAUUGGACAUAUGACAAUUGAAUGAAUCUUGUGCACUGCAUUAUGUAUUGUCCCCCUUUGUGAGACAAGUGUUUUUCUAUUUCUUGUUUGGACGAUAUGCAAAGUACUUAGCAUUUCAUUGUUUACUCAUAACUUGGUUGUGUUAAUUAAUACAGAUCUACAUGAUACUUAUAUGUAGCAAAUACUAUGCUAGUGUAAGAUCUAAGAAUUUUGGACAACACGCGAUUUAUUUUUAAAUUUGUUGCACUUCUCUUACAUCUAUCUAUUCAUAUCUACAAAUAUCUAACGGUCUUGUAAAUAUGCUAGGUAUGAUUGCAUAGCGGGCUACUUGGUGCUGCCCAUCACAAUCUGCAUGACGUGAUAGAUAGCGUCCAUCAGGAGUGUCGAUGGCAAGAACAUGAAUAACUACUUCAAUAGUUUGAAUGUACAGUUUGUGUGAACUGGAUUGUACUAUUUCUUAAUUUUUUGAGUGAUAUUUUGUUAAGCUAUGUUGUAAAAUUACCAUUGUAUGGAGGUUUUUGUAAACUACUAUAUUGUAGAUACCUCUCGAUGGUUGAAUGAAACUUUGGAAAUACUUUUGUCUUGGGCCAAAGUUUGCAUUAUGAUUUCUAUAAUGCAUUAUGCUUAAAAAUGUACUUGGUGAAAAUUAGGCCG
Molecule: long non-coding RNA, 3215 nt
Filed under: Triticum aestivum (bread wheat)
Lineage: Eukaryota; Viridiplantae; Streptophyta; Magnoliopsida; Poales; Poaceae
Description: long non-coding RNA (TAES_LNC022840)
Source: RNAcentral